CCGUCUUCCGCGCCGGCGCCGAUCUCUCCGUCAAAGCGGAACAAUUCUCAGAGUAAAUGUCCCGUUUUCUGAUUUAUUUCCAUUUCCAUCCGAGGGAAGCCGGCGGCGUUUGUGAAGCGUCUCCUGCGGCCGGAGUCUGAUGUAUCGCCGAGAGUUAGACCUGCGGUGAGAGAUUUAUUGGAAGAAAAACCCCAACUGGAAGCAAACCACGACUGAAGACGAGGGAACAGCAACAAGUGAACCAGCCCGAGGGUUGAGAGCAUCAACUGGAGAGAACCCAUCUGACUCGGAGAUUCCAGUGAUUCAGUCAGGAGAAAGUUUGAUUAAUAACGACAAGGAAUUUGUCUACUGGAAUCACGAACACAACACACCAGUUUUGCUGACUUCGUCCAGAUAUUUAAGAAGUAGGGCAAGGGAUUCACUCGAUCAUCCUUCCUGCUCAGACUGUGGGGAGGGACUCACUCGGUUAUCUGACCGACUGGUAUUCCCAUCAUUUUAUACAGGGGAACCCAUUCAUCUGCUCAGACAGUGGGAAUGGAUUCACUCGGUCAUUUCAACUGAAGGUACAUCAGCAAGUUCAACAAGGCCAUUCACCCGUUCUGUGUGUGAGAAGGGUUUCAGUUGGUCUCCCCACCUGUGGACACACCAGUCAGUUCACUUCGAACAGAGGCUGGUCAUCUGCUGAAUUUGUGGGGAAGAAUUCACUCGGUUAUCUGACCUAAUGGGUCACCAGCGAGUUCACACCGGGGAGCAACAGUUCACCUGCUCAGAUUGUGGGAAAGGAUUCAUUCAGGCAUCUAAACUGAAGGUACAUCAGAGAGUUCACACUGGGGAGAGGCCGUUCACCUGCUCAGACUGCGGGAAGGGAUUCACUCAGUCAUCCCACCUCCAAGCACACCGGUCAGUUCACACUGGAGAGCGGCCAUUCACCUGCUCAGACUGUGGGAAAGGAUUCACUAAUUCAUCAGACCUACUGGUGCACAAGUCAGUUCACACCGGGGAGUGGCCGUUCACCUGCUCAGACUGUGGGAAGGGAGUCACUUGCUCAUCCCAACUAAAGAUACAUCAGAGACUUCACACUGGAGAGAGGCCGUUCACCUGCUCAGACUGUGGGAAAGGAUUCACUCGGUCAUCCGACCUACUGGUACACAAGUCACUUCACACAGGGGAGAGGCCGUUCACCUGCUCAGACUGUGGGAAAGGAUUCACUCGGUUAUCUAAACUGAAGGUGCAUCAGAGAGUUCACAAUGGAGAGAGGCCGUUCACCUGCUCAGACUGCGGGAAGGGAUUCAAUCGAUCAUCCCAAAUGCAAGCACACCGGUCAGUUCACACUGGGGAGAGGCCAUUCACCUGCUCAGACUGUGGGAAGGGAUUCACAUCGUCAUCUCAACUGAAGGUACAUCAGCAAUUUCACACUGGGGAGAGGCCGUUCACCUGCUCAGACUGUGGGAAGGGAUUCACUCGAUCAUCCCACCUACAAGCACACCGGUCAGUUCACACCGGGGAGUGGCCGUUCACCUGCUCAGACUGUGGGAAGGGAGUCACUUCCUCAUCCCAACUGAAGGUACAUCAGAGAGUUCACACUGGAGAGAGGCCGUUCACCUGCUCAGACUGUGCUAAAGGAUUCACUCGGUCAUCCGACCUAAUGGCACACCAGCGAGUUCACACCGGGGAGCGGCCGUUCACCUGCUUGGAUUGUGGGAAGGGAUACACUCGGUUAUCUAUACUUAAGGUACAUCAGAGAGUUCACACUGGAGAGAGGCCAUUCACCUGUUCAGACUGAAGGGAAGUGAUUCACUUGGUCAUCCCAACUGAAGGCACAUCAGAGAGUUCACACUGGAGAGAGACUAUUCACCUGCUCAGACUGUGGGAAAAGAUUCAGUCAUUUCAACUUAAGAUAUAUCAGCGAGUUCACACUGGAGAGAGGCCAUUCACCUGCUCAGACUGUGGGAAGGGAUACACUUGCUCAUCCCAUCUGAAGGUACAUCAGUGAGUUCACACUGGGUAGAGGCUGAUCACCUGCUCAGACUUUGGGAAGAGAUUCUCUUAGCCAAAUCAAUCAAAUGUGCAUCACUGAGAUCAUACUGGGGAGAGGCUGUUCACCUGCUGUGAAUGUGCAAAAGACCAUGGAAAUCUCUCUUCCAGUCUCACAAGAAAGAACAGUUCUGUCAUUGGUGUUACAUCGCUCAUGGAUAUCUUGUGACUGUCUUUAGUAUUGGAGAGUGAAGGCUUUAUCGAAGUACAGGAUCUGAAAGAUUAAGAAAAGUUGGUAUCGAUCGGCAGUUUAAUAAAGGAUUGACCUUACUGAGUCUUCGUUGAAGAAGUAGCGACCUGCAUCAAAGGUAACUCCUGCCAAAAGAGCAAGGUAGUUCAUGUAGGAUUUGCUCACCAGAAGAAAGGUCAGUUGCUUUAAGCCGUCUAUUUCCUUCGUCGUGAAUCCUUUGGACAGAACCAGAAGGAAAGUCUCAUCUAUGAAGAAAUUCUUCUUCAGAGAAGUCUCUCCCAAUUGACUGUAUAAAUCACUUGGAUUUUCGAAUUUACCAUUUUAAGAACUGUGUUUGAAUUUAUCGCUUUAAGAACUGUUUUCGCAUUUAUCGUUUUAAGAAAUACUACUUAGUGGUGGUUUGUUGAAGGGCUGCAUAACAGUUUACUUCCGGUUAAGGUUUUCAUUCUUUCCCCCAUUGUUCAUCGGUGUUUAAUAAAUGUUUGGUUGUUUUGAUAUAAUCUGCCUCAAUUGACAUUCAUUACUGCCAGUUACGUAACAUUGGAUAGCACCGCAAUCCAAAACCCUGUUAUCUCUAUUCAUAACCUAAACAUUGCUGCUGCGGUGAAACCAUUACUUCAGCAGUGAAACAUUACAGAGAGGCCAUUAAAUGAGCGGUGAAACCUUACAGUGUGAUAUACUUGUGGCACACUGCUGGGUUCACACUGGGCAGAAAGUUUCAAUAAGCUGCAUGCUGGAUAUUUGUCCAUCACAGUUGCUCAAUGCAAUUUUGACAGUGACUGUCGGUGCUGAACUCUGCAAUUAUUGCUGCUGCUCACCACACUCAGUUCUGCACCCUGGUCACUGUGCAUGGGAGGAGUUUCUUCUGCUGCAUAUUCACCUUAAAGAGACUGGAGAUUACUAUUCCUGUAUCUGAGACAAAUAAAUCAGUUCUAUUUUAAACUCUGUCUCCAUUACUUAGUGAAUUUAUAACACAACUAGUGUACAGGAGAGAGUCAACUCAGGCCGGCUGUACCCUGCCAAUAAUUCUGUUCCACGACAGUCCUUUUAAAUCCUCCCCUGUUGUUCAUCUCUCACUCUCCCUGUGGUGAUGGGUUCCAAACAGUCACCACUCUGUGGGUGAAGAGGUUUCCCUUGAAUUCUCUGCAGACUGAAGAAGUCGAGCUGACUGUGGUUCUGUUUGGGAUGCUCUUCGUCCCUCUAAUCUCUGUGCUGAGAAGCAUGACAUUGGUAGUUAACCUCCUUAAUCACGACUCAUUUCCACGUUAUGGGUCAUUUUCCCUGCUUCUAAAGGGUUGUUAGAAAACACCACUCUCCUCUAAAGACUGAAAGCAGAAUGGGAAACCAUUAGUUGGAUGUUCAAUGGAGCAGGGUCAGAAACCAGAGGCGGGUCUGCACAGGGCAGAGUUUGGGGCUGUGGACGAUGGUCGGGGUAAGAACGUAUGAUGAGGAGAAGGGAAUCAGCAGUGGGGCGUGGCAAUGAAUGACAGAGUAGCAACACUUGGAAGCUGAUUGACAGAGAUUGUGUGACUGAUGACACAAACAACACCAGUGGUGAGGUGCUCCACUGGUCGAGGAACGUGUGUGUUGGGAAUGCUUUUUCUAUUGUGGGGGUUGUUUCUGCUUGUUUAUCCUGUAAGAUUAUAUCCCCAUGGUUAUUAUGGAUUGUCCUAUCUGAAAUAGUGUAUUGAUUAUCAAAUAAUUUGUAAGAUUUUGACUCCAAAACUGGAUCAGGCUUGAAUUUAUGGAGUGAUGGAGGGCAUUCAUGAGUUUGUAUUUUAAAGCAAGAUUUUGGUCAAUGAUAUUUUCCACUUGAUUGUACUUCAUAAGUAAUCAAACUGAGUUAAACUGCUGCAGGAUCCCGGAAUAUGUUGGAUUGUGUCUGGUUUUUCUUGGCAUUUCAUGUAUUUUUGAUUUUUUUUUUUGCCUUUUGUUAACCACCUUAUCCCAUAUUUCUGCAAGGAACCCCCCCUGUUUCUGGGAGGAGGUCUCCAACUCUCAGUCAGGUGAUCGAUGCUUCCUUGUCAACAUCUCAUCUGUUCAGAUCGUUGGGAUGUCUCCCAUGGAGGGUCAUACUCAUUCCACUGGUUAAUGUUUUCUUCCAUAGUGAUGUUUCAUUUUUUCUGAAUGGGCCUCUCAUUUCAGUUUUCUGGUAUUUCUUAUCACAAUUGCAUAUACACACAUGGAGUGCUGAAUCCAGUUCAUUUUUGAUGAAAAUAUUUACUUAGAAGUUUUAUCUGACCGUUGUGUUUUUUUUUCCACGUGUGUUAUUUCUAUUCCUCCUUCUGUCGAAGGUAGUGUUAAUCUAAGUGGGUUUAAGUGUAAAUACGCUUUUCUAAAUUUCUUAUUUAUGUUUGUAAAUUUUAUGGAU
RNA transcript from Mobula hypostoma (lesser devil ray), 4595 nucleotides. It is a transcript of the gene named zinc finger protein 239-like, with no coding region annotated. NCBI's taxonomy places the organism in Eukaryota, Metazoa, Chordata, Chondrichthyes, Myliobatiformes, Myliobatidae. The transcript is spliced from 5 exons. The record is from RefSeq and is a predicted model, not a curated record.